GCAUAUCAAUAAGCGGAGGAAAAGAAACCAACAGGGAUUGCCCUAGUAACGGCGAGUGAAGCGGCAACAGCUCAAAUUUGAAAUCUGGCUUUCGGGCCCGAGUUGUAAUUUGUAGAGGAUGAUUUUGAUGCGGUGCCUUCCGAGUUCCCUGGAACGGGACGCCAUAGAGGGUGAGAGCCCCGUCUGGUUGGAUGCCAAAUCUCUGUAAAUCUCCUUCGACGAGUCGAGUAGUUUGGGAAUGCUGCUCUAAAUGGGAGGUAUAUGUCUUCUAAAGCUAAAUACCGGCCAGAGACCGAUAGCGCACAAGUAGAGUGAUCGAAAGAUGAAAAGCACUUUGAAAAGAGAGUUAAAAAGUACGUGAAAUUGUUGAAAGGGAAGCGUUUAUGACCAGACUUGGGCUUGGUUAAUCAUCUGGGGUUCUCUCCAGUGCACUUUUCCAGCCCAGGCCAGCAUCAGUUUUCGCCGGGGGAUAAAGACUUCGGGAAUGUGGCUCCCCUCGGGGAGUGUUAUAGCCCGUUGUGUAAUACCCUGGUGGGGACUGAGGUUCGCGCUUCUGCAAGGAUGCUGGCGUAAUGGUCAUCAACGACCCGUCUUGAAACACGGACCAAGGAGUCGUCUUCGUAUGCGAGUGUUCGGGUGUCAAACCCCUACGCGUAAUGAAAGUGAACGCAGGUGAGAGCUUCGGCGCAUCAUCGACCGAUCCUGAUGUUCUCGGAUGGAUUUGAGUAAGAGCAUACGGGGCCGGACCCGAAAGAAGGUGAACUAUGCCUGUGUAGGGUGAAGCCAGAGGAAACUCUGGUGGAGGCUCGCAGCGGUUCUGACGUGCAAAUCGAUCGUCAAACAUGGGCAUGGGGGCGAAAGACUAAUCGAACCUUCUAGUAGCUGGUUUCCGCCG
This 895-nucleotide ribosomal RNA is filed under the name Fusarium lunulosporum. RNAcentral describes it as "LSU rRNA". It matches the Rfam family "Eukaryotic large subunit ribosomal RNA", at positions 38 to 963 of the family's 3401-position model. The record is from RNAcentral. Lineage: Eukaryota; Fungi; Ascomycota; Sordariomycetes; Hypocreales; Nectriaceae.